GACGAACGCUGGCGGCGUGCUUAACACAUGCAAGUCGAACGGGUCUGCCCUGUUUUUUGCGGUGUGGGUCAGUGGCGAACGGGUGAGUAACACGUGAGUAACCUGCCCCUCACUUCUGGAUAACCGCUUGAAAGGGUGGCUAAUACGGGGUGUUCUUGCUGUGCCGCAUGGUGUGGCUGGGAAAGAUUCACUUUUGUGUUGUUUUGGUUGGGGAUGGGCUCGCGGCCUAUCCGCUUGUUGGUGGGGUGAUGGCCUGCCAAGGCUUUGACGGGUAGACGGCAUGAGAGGGUGGGCGGUCACACUGGGACUGAGAUACGGCGCAGACUCCGGCGGGAGGCAGCAGUGGGGGGUAUUGCACAAGGGGCGGAAGCCUGAUGCAGCGACGUCGCGGGAGGGAUGGAGGCCUUAGGGUUGUGAACCUCUUUCGCCGGUGAAGAAGGUCCUGCUCUUUGUGGUGGGGUUGACGGUAGCCGGGUUAUGAAGCGCCGGCUAACUACGUG
This 500-nucleotide ribosomal RNA is filed under the name uncultured bacterium. RNAcentral describes it as "partial 16S ribosomal RNA". It matches the Rfam family "Bacterial small subunit ribosomal RNA", at positions 28 to 507 of the family's 1533-position model. The record is from RNAcentral.